UUGAACGCUGGCGGCAGGCCUAACACAUGCAAGUCGAGCGGAUGAAGGGAGCUUGCUCCUGGAUUCAGCGGCGGACGGGUGAGUAAUGCCUAGGAAUCUGCCUGGUAGUGGGGGAUAACGUCCGGAAACGGGCGCUAAUACCGCAUACGUCCUGAGGGAGAAAGUGGGGGAUCUUCGGACCUCACGCUAUCAGAUGAGCCUAGGUCGGAUUAGCUAGUUGGUGGGGUAAAGGCCUACCAAGGCGACGAUCCGUAACUGGUCUGAGAGGAUGAUCAGUCCCACUGGAACUGAGACACGGUCCAGACUCCUACGGGAGGCAGCAGUGGGGAAUAUUGGACAAUGGGCGAAAGCCUGAUCCAGCCAUGCCGCGUGUGUGAAGAAGGUCUUCGGAUUGUAAAGCACUUUAAGUUGGGAGGAAGGGCAGUAAGUUAAUACCUUGCUGUUUUGACGUUACCAACAGAAUAAGCACCGGCUAACUUCGUG
RNAcentral lists this ribosomal RNA (483 nucleotides) under uncultured bacterium. Its description in RNAcentral is "partial 16S ribosomal RNA". It matches the Rfam family "Bacterial small subunit ribosomal RNA", at positions 30 to 507 of the family's 1533-position model. The record is from RNAcentral.